Molecule: ribosomal RNA, 468 nt
Filed under: uncultured bacterium
Lineage: Bacteria
Description: partial 16S ribosomal RNA
Rfam family: Bacterial small subunit ribosomal RNA
Source: RNAcentral
GACGAACGCUGGCGGCGUGCUUAACACAUGCGAGUCGAACGGAAAGGCCCUGCUUUUGUGGGGUGCUCGAGUGGCGAAAGGGUGAGUAACACGUGAGUAACCUGCCCUUGACUUUGGGAUAACUUCAGGAAACUGGGGCUAAUACCGGAUAGGAGCUCCUGCUGCAUGGUGGGGGUUGGAAAGUUUCGGCGGUUGGGGAUGGACUCGCGGCUUAUCAGCUUGUUGGUGGGGUAGUGGCUUACCAAGGCUUUGACGGGUAGCCGGCCUGAGAGGGUGACCGGCCACAUUGGGACUGAGAUACGGCCCAGACUCCUACGGGAGGCAGCAGUGGGGAAUAUUGCACAAUGGGCGGAAGCCUGAUGCAGCAACGCCGCGUGCGGGAUGACUGCCUUCGGGUUGUAAACCGCUUUCGCCUGUGACGAAGCGUGAGUGACGGUAAUGGGUAAAGAAGCACCGGCUAACUACGUG